RNAcentral lists this long non-coding RNA (4090 nucleotides) under Canis lupus familiaris (dog). RNAcentral's name for it is "lncRNA (ENSCAFG00000051618.1)". The record is from RNAcentral. Lineage: Eukaryota; Metazoa; Chordata; Mammalia; Carnivora; Canidae.
GCUGGCUGACUAGCAUAUGUGUUGUUUCCAUCAGAAGUUGGCACACUUGGCUCUCUGUUGUGUACAUUAUAUAGGUUAGCUAGACCUUGUUUCCCACAAAGGAUGUUUCUCUGUAGAACAUAUAUAUAAAUCUGGGGCCUGUGAGCUUUCAAGGAAAAGUUCCAUCUACCCUUAUUGUUAUGGUACAGAAUCAGAGGUGAUGGGUGGCCACCCAACAGAUUGCACAUUAGGAGGAAAAAGGUCCUGUCUGGAAAACUAAGAAGCCCCCUUGGAGAAGGAAGUCUCAAAGGUGCAGCAGGUUUACAGCCAUCCAGGAGGUGCCCUCAGAAAAGGGACGUGACCACAUCUCGUUUAGAGAAGUUGGCGCCCAGGAGGUUUGGUUUGCUGAAUGCGCACUAACCCCCAGUAAGACACAGAAGAGUUUUACUACUGUGAGCGAAUUGGCUUUUGCCUCCUGGAGCAAAGUGUUGGUUGUAUUGAACCUUUCUAAAUACUCCCAGGUACAAAGUCUUGGUGCUAGUGCUAGCGUGGUCUUAAAAGCCCCAUGGGGGGCUUACCCAUUAGCAGCAGAGCCUCGCACACAUACCAGAGAGUUCCCUCUCUGUUCUGUGAAGACAUUUAGAUCCUCUGCUGUGACUUACCCAAAUGACUAAAACAGCAGUUUAUUUUUUUAAUUACUGGUUGAAACAGCUAAUGCUCCCUUUUGGAACAGCUAAUGCUGCCUUUUGGAACAGCUAAUGCUGCCUUUCGGAGGCUGUGCUUUACUGCAGGGGACUGUGUUGUGACUGAGUGAAGGCCUUGCACAUCUGAGUGCCCUUUGAGGUGUGGUCUAUCUGCCUCUCGUCCAGGCAAAAACGUUAGGGACUCUAGGCUUUUCCUAGAGAAGUGGUGGGUCUCAGGUGCUCAUGGUAAGCCAGGAAACUGAGAUAAGGAGGAGUGGACCAGAAACUGCAGCUGGACUUGGUAGAAUUGGCUUGUGUGUGAUGGGCCUAAGAGGGCAAAGGAAAUUUAAUCCCAGAUACUUCUCCAACCACCCUAGGGGAAUGAAAAGCAGAAAAGAGACUUUGUAGUCAUCGGACCUGGCUGUGUGUUCCAGUUGCACUUGCAGAGUAAGUCAGUUUCACUAAGCCUUGGCUUCCUCAUUUGACAGACGGAGGAUUCUUGCCUUGCAGAGUAGUAGCAGCAAUUAAGUGAGAGAAGUACUAAAACACCUGGAGGGGUGCGUAAGCAGAGUGGUUUUCUCAACUUGCUCAUCUCUUUGUAUUUUUCUUUGAGUUUGCCAUAUCUGGUCAGAACAUCUUCUACCAAUAUUCAUGUCAAAAGGCCAAGACCUCAAGUGUAUCACUGCAGGUGUAGAGUACCACUUUUUGACCAAGAAUAAAACCUACGCUUUCCUGUGCUGGAGUGACAAAUAAGGAACCAAAUUGAUUAGCUGUCUUCUAUAUCAGUUGUCUCAUUUAGUAACCCAGCACAGUGGUGUUGUGUGUCCCUCUGUGAUAGCUUUAAAAAAUGGAAAUUCGGAGAGCUUAGGUGACUUGCCCUAAGGUCAUUCAUAGAGCUAAGUCACAGAUAUCAGGUUUGAACUCAGGUCCAGAAAUCUGAGACGGAGAUCUUGUACUGAAUCUCAAGAUUUGUUACAGAUGCUACAUUUUAAAUGAAAAUGGACUUUUAGACUCACUUGACAUACCUGUAGGGAAGAAAACCUCUAUUAUAUGGCAUAGGGAAGAGAGACAAAGCAUCUCAACCAGCUUCACUUCAUUUAGCACUUUAAGAUAGUAUUAUUUUCAAGCCUCUGAUCAAUGAGUAAGAUUUGAUAAUUGAAAUUGCUUAUAAUUAGUUCUUAAUUUAUGCUACCAAGUCUUCAUAGAAUUUUGUAUUUGGCAGCAGUGCAGAUAAUUAAGUAGUUAGUGAAACCACAUAAUAAAAUGCUAUUGCAAGCACAUGUUGGAUCAGAAUCAAUGUAAAAUAACUGAUAAUUAGGUAAUGACUCUUUGACAAUACAUAAUUGUAUAAUGAGGAAGGGUUUUACUUUUUUAUAUUUUAAUAGGCAGCUCCAAAUAUUUCACUUACAGAAUUGAUGUGCUUUUUGAUCUUGCUGAGAAAGUAGCAAUUGUCAGAAAAACAGCAAGUCAUCUUCCCCAGGUAGGUGAAUGAACCUUGUGUAAGUCUAGAGGAAAGAAAAGGCUGCCUGCCAUCUGGUGGACCCAUUCAGAGAGUGUGGCCCAGAGUCUAGAAACUAGAGCCAGGAAAUUCCCAGCUAGGGGACUUGGCUGGCUUCAGCAGCCAAUCAGCCUCUAGGGAAAUGGCCACUUGUGCUACUGCUGUCCAAAAAGAGAAGGCUCUGCAGAGAACACUGUGGAGCCAGACCCUUCCUGGGACAACUGAGGAAGCAUGGGCCUGCUCCCAUAAAUUCUGUGAUUCAAGAGAUUUGAUGUCACUUGCUAGGAAAGGGGGGUUCCCAAUCUGCUCUGGUACAGGAUUCAGGUGUGUUUGUCCCAGGAUUCCUGCAUUCAGGGGCACGUGUGGGGCUUUAUGAACCAAACUCUAGCCUAUUAUUUCUCUGAACUCUAGAUAAGUACUAAUAAGGACUUGAUUCAUUCACAAAGGGAAGUAUUUCCUCAUACUCUAUAAAGCAAGGGCUAGGCAAGCAGGGAUAGAGCUCCUGGCUGACUAAAAGGAAGUAGCUUUUAUUUGAUCCCUCUUGGUUGUUCCUAUUGGCCAUGCAAAAACAGUGUUUAUUGGAUCUUCUGAAUUUUUGCAAGAGACCAGAAAUCCAGAUUUAUGAGAAAUUUACUUAAUUGUAAAUCCUGACAGCUAAUUCAGUAUUCCUUUAAAACCUAGACCAUCAGUUUCUGACCUCUUCCACCACCAGGUGAUAGGACUGUCUAAAUAUUUACUGCCUCUACUUCCCCUAACUCUCAUUUACCUCAGCUACUCAAGUGGCUUGCUGCCUACCUGUCUGUUUUUAUAGAGUCCUUCUCACCUCUUAAGAGAGAAUCCCAAAGAUUCCAUCCAGGAUCCUUGUUUGCUCCUUGCUCCUAGCACUUCUGGCUGACUGCAUCCACUCCCAUGAUUUCAACUGCUGUUUACUCAUAGAGUCCUCAUUCCCAAAUCUAGACCUUUCCUAACUUUCAACAUGUACAUACCUAACCACCACCUACUGGACAUCUCUCCCAGGACCAUUGUAGUGUGAAACUCAACUUACUUUCUAAUUUUUUUUUUUAAAUUUUUAUUUAUUUGUGAUAGUCACAGAGAGAAAGAGAGAAUGAGGCAGAGACACAGGCAGAGGGAGAAGCAGGCUCCAUGCACCGGGAGCCCGACGUGGGAUUCGAUCCCGGGUCUCCAGGAUCGCAUCCUGGGCCAAAGGCAGGCGCCAAACCGCUGCGCCACCCAGGGAUCCCCUUCAACUUACUUUCUAAACCUGUUUUUCUCCCAUAUUCUUGGUCACCAUCCAUCUCGAGCUGUCCAGAUUAGAAAUCUGUUCCUCUCUCCCCUUCACCUCCAGUGACUAAAGUCUUUCACCUUACAAAUAUCUCCUAAAUUCAGCCCAGUCUUUCCUUCCAGACUGCCACUACUUUAGUGCUCUUCCUCAUCUCUCACCAGGACCGGAAGGGUCGCCUAAACCAUUUUUAGGGAACUUCAGAGCUGAGUAGGAGAAAGAGGUUUAGAUAGGUUUAGUGGUGGGGAGAGAGAUGAAGAGACCCAUGUUGGGAGUGAAACAGGAGCACUUUCAGAACAAGGACUGGGAUGGAAAGUAGAUCCAUAGCAACAGGUCACAUUGGUUGAGAUCAAGAGAUAUGAGGCCCUUCCUGAGAAAGCACAAGAGAAACUUUUUUCUCCCUUUAAUUGUUUCAUAGUUACAAAGGUAAUGGAUUCUCAUUAUAAGAAUUUAGAAAAUAAUAAAAAUUUAUAAUUCCACUAUUCAAAUGGAGUUAUUUUACGUUUUGUUAAUAUUUUUUAUAUGCAUACAUAUUUUUUUAAAUAGCAAAUGUAGGAUCAUAUUGUAUAUGAUUUUUUGUAAUCUUUUUCAUGUAGCAAUAUAUUGUGAUAACCUUCUGAGUAUAAGACUAAUCUCUGUGUCAGAAAACUU